UGGGGAAUAUUGGACAAUGGGCGAAAGCCUGAUCCAGCCAUGCUGCGUGAGUGACGAAGGCCUUAGGGUUGUAAAACUCUUUCGUCGGGGACGAUAAUGACGGUACCCGAAGAAGAAGCUCCGGCUAACUUCGUGCCAGCAGCCGCGGUAAUACGAAGGGAGCUAGCGUUGUUCGGAAUCACUGGGCGUAAAGCGCGCGUAGGCGGCUUAACAAGUCAGAGGUGAAAGCCUGGAGCUCAACUCCAGAACUGCCUUUGAAACUGUUAAGCUUGAGUGUCGGAGGGGAUAGCGGAAUUUCUAAUGUAGAGGUGAAAUUCGUAGAUAUUAGAAGGAACACCGGUGGCGAAGGCGGCUAUCUGGACGACAACUGACGCUGAGGCGCGAAAGCGUGGGGAUCAAACAGGAUUAGAUACCCGCGUAGUCCCUGAGCGGGCUGGCAAGGCGCAU
RNAcentral lists this ribosomal RNA (447 nucleotides) under uncultured bacterium. RNAcentral describes it as "bacterial SSU rRNA". It matches the Rfam family "Bacterial small subunit ribosomal RNA", at positions 355 to 825 of the family's 1533-position model. The record is from RNAcentral.